This 61-nucleotide non-coding RNA is filed under the name human gut metagenome. The record is from RNAcentral.
GCCGAAACGCCCGCGAGGGCGUCUGCCGGAGGCUGAUCGCCCGGCACUGAUGAUGGCAGAU